UGUCGCAGUGCUGUGGGUCGUGGCUAUCGCAAUUACAACACUGGUGUGAUUGUUUCCCUACGCGUGGAAUUCGGCUGCGAUUCCUUACGACCCUGCGCUAGCAGCCGUGUACGCCUCUCUCUAUCCCCUGCUGUGGAGCGUCUCGGUCGCCUGGAUGCUACACUCUUGCAUCACGGGGACGGCAGAUCUCGUGAAUCGGUUCCUGAGCAUGGGGGUCUUCAUGCCAUUGGGCAAGCUGAGCCUCUCCCUGUACCUCGUCCACCCGUAUGUGUUGUACACCAAGUUGAUCACCACGAGGCAAUUCAGAGCCCUGGACCAGUGGACAAUGUUCACGGAUGCCAUUGGACUACUGUUCUUCAGCUUGUUCUUCGCCUUCGUCUUCUAUAUCACGUGCGAAUGUCCCAUAACCAAUAUAGACAAGAUCGCUGUGGACGCCAUCUUGAAAGGAAGGAGGCGGGACGUAAAGAACGAGGUUCCUACGUCGAAUGUCCACUCGAACAACAUCGAGUUAUCUGGCUGCACAAGCACAA
Dermacentor albipictus is the source of this 530-nucleotide long non-coding RNA. RefSeq lists it as uncharacterized. The record is from RefSeq and is a predicted model, not a curated record. Lineage: Eukaryota; Metazoa; Arthropoda; Arachnida; Ixodida; Ixodidae.